Molecule: non-coding RNA, 99 nt
Organism: Xylariaceae sp. FL0594
Lineage: Eukaryota; Fungi; Ascomycota; Sordariomycetes; Xylariales; Xylariaceae
Source: the annotation of a GenBank genome assembly
ACUACGAUGGUGUAGUGGUAACAUCUCAGCUUCCCAUGCAAACUCUCCUUGGAGCAGCAAAGCAUGCUGAGGCCACGGGUUCGAUUCCCGUUCGUAGUA